This 1230-nucleotide long non-coding RNA is filed under the name Camelus dromedarius (Arabian camel). Its description in RNAcentral is "lncRNA (ENSCDRG00005013112.1)". Lineage: Eukaryota; Metazoa; Chordata; Mammalia; Artiodactyla; Camelidae. The record is from RNAcentral.
GAGCCGCGGCCGCAGCGGCAUCGCGGCCUGGGGACGCCCGCUCCGCUGGACACGGCGUCCCCGAGAGCGCCCGCCACGCGCGGACCUGCUUCCCGGGGUCCGGGGCUGCCCCGGGGCGUCCGGCGUUCCCCGAGGCGGGCGUGUCCGCGCGGCGCCCGGUGGGGGACGACCGCGGGCCGUAGCCUGUUGGAGCGCGCGGGGCGCCGGGCCGGGGGCUCGGGGUGCCCCGCGGGGGACCGCGCAGCCGGGCUCCCGGUGCGGAGCAGUUUUCGCGAACUCUCCGCCUCCGUCUCACUGGGGCCCACCGCCGCCGGGAGACCCCCGUCCGGACCUGCCAAGAAAGGAGUGUCAUGAAAAAGGAACAGAAAAGAGACGUCCCUGUUGCUGAAAGGGGAAUUUUCUUUCCCAGUUGGUGGUACUUCAUGAUUGGAAGAGAAGUACCUAGGUGGCUGAAGAGAUUAGAUUCUCAUAGUUGUUACAGAUGAAGCUGAUAAAAAGAAGAUGGGAAAAUGCUUUCUCUGGGUCAUAAUAGGCUGAUGAGUAAGUAAGCCUGAAAGGGACAGAUCUGAAAUGAGGACAGGAAUUUUGAAAGUUUUAAAACCAAGUAGGACUUUGAGCACUUGUUGAGGAUGUUUUUCUCCCAAAAAUGGAGGAAGAAAAAAUUCUCAAAGCAAGAAGUGUCAGAAGCUGAGAGGAGGAAUACAAACCAGUCUGCACCAAGAAUUUCAGUACUUCCUCGGCUUCCUUUUGCACACAGAGGCAACGCAUCAGACCUGUGUGAUGACCUUAUCACCAGUGAUGGUUGCUGAUGCCAGAAAUGACUUCUUAAUUUAGAUUUCGGAUAGUUCUUUCUCUUUCUUUUCUUUUCUCUUUUUUUAACCAUGUGUGUUUUUUGACUCUUCCUGUUAGGUAGAUUUAUGUCAACGAAGUGAAUCAUGAAUUCGCAGUAUGUUUGACUAUCUCCCCCCAUUUGCUGUAUGAUACGGGAAAAUUAGAGGUUUUAACACUUCUUGAAGUUUUACUGGAAGUAAGAUUGUGUCAGGGACACAGACCACAGUGUAAGUUUUCUCUUUUUGGCAACUGGACUUGUUUUGAAUGAGACAAAUGUCAGCUGGAUUUCACAGCAUACACGAUUUACAGUCUUUGUUUUAUCAAGGCCUUAAAUGUAUGUUUUAUACUCAGCAGAUGGGAAACACAUUGAGCACUGUGUCUGACACGUAUGCCUGAGGA